This 494-nucleotide long non-coding RNA is filed under the name Callithrix jacchus (white-tufted-ear marmoset). Its description in RNAcentral is "lncRNA (ENSCJAG00000084148.1)". The record is from RNAcentral. Lineage: Eukaryota; Metazoa; Chordata; Mammalia; Primates; Cebidae.
AAAGGGUUUAGGAAUCAGAAGGAGCCUCCAGGCAGUGAGUGCUGUCUGAGCAGAGAAGGGCCUGAGAGAGCGGGGCAGUCUUGUCACAGAAACAGAGCCCACCUCAUCCCAGCACACGGGCCCAAGCACUGGUCUCACCCCCACCCCUCAGACUCCGAGCCGGGCCAGAGCACAGCCAGGAGAAUCUGGUUAGCUCCUCGGGGAAACUGAGGCUCACAGAAGGGUGGAAACACCCGGUCACAACGGUCACCACCACAAUCCAGGGUCCGGCCGAGGUCUCCCACUCCCCGUGGCUGGGCCCGGAGGACAGGCCACCAUCACCGUGUGCCCAGCCACAACAAGCCACAGGAGCUGAGGCCGGAGCUGAAAACCCUUCCCGCCUGACUGGGGACAAGAACAAGUACAAAGAAGGUGCCGGGGUGCGGGGGGAAGGUCGGGCAUGAGACGGGGCUGGAGGGGGCAGAGGAGCUGCAGAGGGUGCAGGCCCCGGCAUA